This 286-nucleotide long non-coding RNA is filed under the name Linum usitatissimum (flax). Its description in RNAcentral is "long non-coding RNA (LUSI_LNC003145)". The record is from RNAcentral. Lineage: Eukaryota; Viridiplantae; Streptophyta; Magnoliopsida; Malpighiales; Linaceae.
GUUCGGUCUGCAUUACUCGACUUAGUCAAAACCCUCUUUUUUGUUUUUAUUUUAGCCAUUAUUUUUGUCCUUUUUAGUUUUUUUAUAGAAGACAGCUCAAUUUAUUUUAGAACCACAGAUAUUAUAGAAGGUGAUCACCCUCAUCAUGAAGGAAGUUACGAUCUUUUAAGAUGUGGAGCUAGUUAGAUACACGACAAUCAUGAGAACAAUUGCAAGUCAGUGCGCUUUAGUGUUGCGUUUGCGAGGUACGAAGAAGAAGCUGACACACGGGUUGGUAGAGAGUUUC